RNAcentral lists this ribosomal RNA (422 nucleotides) under uncultured bacterium. Its description in RNAcentral is "partial 16S ribosomal RNA". It matches the Rfam family "Bacterial small subunit ribosomal RNA", at positions 360 to 774 of the family's 1533-position model. The record is from RNAcentral.
AAUCUUCCGCAAUGGAUGCAAGUCUGACGGCGUAUCGCCGCGUGAUUGAUGACGGCUUUCGGAUCGUAAAAUUCUGUUGUUAGGGAAGAACAAGUAUCGGAGUCACUGCCGGUACCUUGACGGUACCUUACGAGAAAGCCACUGCUAACUACGAGCCAUCAGCCGCGGUAAUACGUUGGUGGCAAGCUUUGUCCGGAUUUAUUGGGCGUAAAGCGCGCGCAGGCGGUCUUUUAAGUCUGAUGUGAAAUCUUACAGCUUAACUGUAAGCGGUCAUUGGAAACUGGGAGACUUGAGUGCAGAAGAGGAGAGUGGAAUUCCAUGUGUAGCGGUGAAAUGCGUAGAGAUAUGGAGGAACACCAGUGGCGAAGGCGACUCUCUGGUCUGCAACUGACGCUGAGGCGCGAAAGCGUGGGGAUCAAACA